CGGCCUCGGGCAGUCCGCUACAGUGUGCUC
RNAcentral lists this small RNA (30 nucleotides) under Bombyx mori (domestic silkworm). Its description in RNAcentral is "ovarian small RNA-14479". The record is from RNAcentral. Lineage: Eukaryota; Metazoa; Arthropoda; Insecta; Lepidoptera; Bombycidae.